GGACAGGUGGGUGAGUGGUUAAUACCAGCAGACUGUAAAUCUGCCGCCCUUAAGGGCUACGGAGGUUCGAAUCCUCCCCUGUCCACCA
This 88-nucleotide transfer RNA is filed under the name Bryobacterales bacterium. Its description in RNAcentral is "tRNA-Tyr". It matches the Rfam family "tRNA". From Rfam's summary of the family: Transfer RNA (tRNA) molecules are approximately 80 nucleotides in length. Their secondary structure includes four short double-helical elements and three loops (D, anti-codon, and T loops). Lineage: Bacteria; Pseudomonadati; Acidobacteriota; Terriglobia; Bryobacterales. The record is from RNAcentral.